This 460-nucleotide ribosomal RNA is filed under the name uncultured bacterium. RNAcentral describes it as "partial 16S ribosomal RNA". It matches the Rfam family "Bacterial small subunit ribosomal RNA", at positions 338 to 795 of the family's 1533-position model. The record is from RNAcentral.
CCUACGGGAGGCAGCAGUGAGGAAUAUUGGUCAAUGGGCGCGAGCCUGAACCAGCCAAGUAGCGUGAUGGAUGACUGCCCUACGGGUUGUAAACUUCUUUUAUAUAGGAAUAAAGUGUUCCACGUGCGCCUUUUUGUAUGUACCCUAUGAAUAAGGAUCGGCUAACUCCGUGCCAGCAGCCGCGGUAAUACGGAGGAUCCGAGCGUUAUCCGGAUUUAUUGGGUUUAAAGGGAGCGUAGGUGGGUUGUUAAGUCAGUUGUGAAAGUUUGCGGCUCAACCGUAAAAUUGCAGUUGAUACUGGCAGUCUUGAGUACAGUAGAGGUAGGCGGAAUUCGUGGUGUAGCGGUGAAAUGCUUAGAUAUCACGAAGAACUCCGAUUGCGAAGGCAGCUUACUAGACUGCAACUGACACUGAUGCUCGAAAGUGUGGGUAUCAAACAGGAUUAGAUACCCCAGUAGUC